Molecule: long non-coding RNA, 458 nt
Filed under: Mus pahari (shrew mouse)
Lineage: Eukaryota; Metazoa; Chordata; Mammalia; Rodentia; Muridae
Description: lncRNA (MGP_PahariEiJ_G0003414.1)
Source: RNAcentral
GACACGGGGUCUGUGGGUAUGCAUACAGACAAAUCUUCCUCUCUUCUACAGAUGCCCAUCAAGAGUGGAAGCUGGAGGUGGUUAUUGUCCGGGGCAAUGUGUACAUUUCCAGAUUCUGCUCUGUGAAUCGAAACGCCAGCUUUCCCAUUAUAAUCGCAUCAGUGUGACCGCCUUGACUUAGCCUGCCACUGAGGACUUCUGCUCCAGCCAAACGCCUCCCAGCCAAGACUCAACGAGCUUGCCAAAUGGUUUCAUUUCUUGGCUUGUCAGAACUCAUCAGCUUCCUUUGCCUUGUGUGUUUCCUGGCAACACUGAAACGAAGCGCGUCUCACCAUUAAAACUAUUAGGAAAUGUGAUAUCGCCAAUCUCAUCCAGUCUAAUCACUCAGGGUGGCUGCAGCGGGCAAGAUAGGAAAGAGAAGGUCACUGUGAGUUAACUAAACCUCACCCUCACAGAUA